This 405-nucleotide ribosomal RNA is filed under the name uncultured bacterium. RNAcentral describes it as "partial 16S ribosomal RNA". It matches the Rfam family "Bacterial small subunit ribosomal RNA", at positions 28 to 526 of the family's 1533-position model. The record is from RNAcentral.
GAUGAACGCUGGCGGCGUGCCUAAUACAUGCAAGUCGAGCGAAUAGGGGACGGGUGAGUAACACGUGGAUAACCUCCUAUAAGACUGGGAUAACUCCGGGAAACAGGAGCUCAAUCGCACACUUAUAGUUGGAUCCGCGCUGCAUUAGCUAGGUGGUAAGGUAACGGCUUACCAAGGCAACGAUGCAUAGCCGACCUGAGAGGGGGACCGGCCACACUGGAACGGAUACACGGUCCAGACUCCUACGGGAGGCAGCAGUAGGGAAUCUUCCGCAAUGGGCGAAAGCCUGACGGAGAAACGCCGCGUGAUUGAUGAAGUUCUUCGGAUCGUAAAACUCUGUUAUUAGGGAAGCGGUACCUAAUCAGAAAGCCACGGCUAACUACGUGCCAGCAGCCGCGGUAAUAC